AGUGGCGGACGGGUGAGUAACGCGUAAGAAUCUAACUUCAGGACGGGGACAACAGUGGGAAACGACUGCUAAUACCCGAUGUGCCGCGAGGUGAAACCUAAUUGGCCUGAAGAAGAGCUUGCGUCUGAUUAGCUAGUUGGUGGGGUAAGAGCCUACCAAGGCGACGAUCAGUAGCUGGUCUGAGAGGAUGAGCAGCCACACUGGGACUGAGACACGGCCCAGACUCCUACGGGAGGCAGCAGUGGGGAAUUUUCCGCAAUGGGCGAAAGCCUGACGGAGCAACGCCGCGUGAGGGAGGAAGGUCUUUGGAUUGUAAACCUCUUUUCUCAAGGAAGAAGUUCUGACGGUACUUGAGGAAUCAGCCUCGGCUUACUCCGUGCCAGCAGCCGCGGUAAUACGGGGGAGGCAAGCGUUAUCCGGAAUUAUUGGGCGUAAAGCGUCCGCAGGUGGUCAGCCAAGUCUGCCGUCAAAUCAGGUUGCUUAACGACCUAAAGGCGGUGGAAACUGGCAGACUAGAGAGCAGUAGGGGUAGCAGGAAUUCCCAGUGUAGCGGUGAAAUGCGUAGAGAUUGGGAAGAACAUCGGUGGCGAAAGCGUGCUACUGGGCUGUAUCUGACACUCAGGGACGAAAGCUAGGGGAGCGAAAGGGAUUAGAUACCCCUGUAGUCCUAGCCGUAAACGAUGGAUACUAGGCGUGGCUU
This 700-nucleotide ribosomal RNA is filed under the name uncultured bacterium. RNAcentral describes it as "bacterial SSU rRNA". It matches the Rfam family "Bacterial small subunit ribosomal RNA", at positions 94 to 828 of the family's 1533-position model. The record is from RNAcentral.